RNAcentral lists this ribosomal RNA (292 nucleotides) under uncultured bacterium. RNAcentral's name for it is "partial 16S ribosomal RNA". It matches the Rfam family "Bacterial small subunit ribosomal RNA", at positions 505 to 796 of the family's 1533-position model. The record is from RNAcentral.
GUGUCAGCCGCCGCGGUAAUACGGAGGGUGCGAGCGUUGUUCGGAAUUAUUGGGCGUAAAGCGCGUGUAGGCGGCUCCUUAAGUCUGAUGUGAAAGCCCCGGGCUCAACCUGGGAAGUGCAUUGGAAACUGGGGAACUUGAAUACGGGAGAGGGUAGUGGAAUUCCUGGUGUAGGAGUGAAAUCCGUAGAUAUCAGGAGGAACACCGGUGGCGAAGGCGGCUACCUGGACCGAUAUUGACGCUGAGACGCGAAAGCGUGGGGAGCAAACAGGAUUAGAAACCCCAGUAGUCC